AAAACUCCGUUGAUAAAACUCACAGAGUUGAGCACAGGAAUGGGUGUGUUCGGUGACGUGGAGAAAGGGAAACGAAAGCAAACACACUUGUGCAAACUUACCUACCGAGGUUUUGUCCACAGUUGUUGAUUGAGGUAUAUCAGCAGAUUCAGGCAAAAACAUGUUUUGAUGAUCUUUGCCACAAUAAAAAAAAACAGAUUUCCAAUCGUGAUUGGAUUUAUUUCUAUUCUAACCACGCAGGUGAACGAUGAAGCCCAAAUAAGGAUCUGAAGACAACAUACCGAGAGGAGGAAACAUGUCUACAGCCAGAAAGGAGCUACAGGAGGCCUUGUGCCGCUACACUGCAGAUACUCUAAUCUACAUUGACUCUGUGAGAGGAUUCUGUGAGAGGAUCUCUAAAUGGAUGAUUGGGAGGGAGUCAGAGUUGGACAUGAUGAGAGACAUCAAGGACAGGGCUGACGAAAUUGACCUGAACAUUGACCAUGUAACCAAGUCAGAGACCAAAGGAAAAGCCUUUUGGGAAUAUAUAAAGAGCAAGGUGACCCAGGUGACUGCAGACAGCAGGCACGCAGAGCUGGAGAAGGAGUUGGCUGCUGUGCUGAAGGACACUCUGGGAGGCCUGGAGAAGCUUGACUGCUUCCUGGAUUCAGUGGAGAAGCUGGCAGUCACCUCACUUCAUGUGUUCACAGAGAACCAGGUGUUGCAUCUACCAGAAGGGAUCAGCCUUGAAAAUGUUCAGGUUGUCAUCACUGCUGCACGGCUAAUCUGCCCUCUCCUCCUCGAGUUUAAAAGAGAUGCAAAUGUCUUCUUCCUUCCCAGACUUCAGAAUGUGGAAGUGCUAGCAUAUCAGCUGGACAAAUACAUUCAGACCACCCAGAAAAUCUGUGAGAAGCUGGAGAAAAGCUCCUUCUGUGAGUUUGACCUGAAGAUGAUUAUGAAAACUGUGGUAGACCUCGAUGUGGAUUUGUCCGAAGAUGACAUACAAAGGAUGUUGUAUCACAUUAAUCAGCUUGAUGAUAUCAGGAUGAACCAAAACUUCAGGAUGGUGUUCUUGUUCCAGGAGGAAUCAUGUUCUGGCUUCAUCGAUGAGUUCACAGAGCGAAAGCCCAGGAUGCUGGAGUUUCUAAAAGACCUGGAAGAGAGUGCUGUUCAGCUAGACAGAAUGAAUAAGGGGGCAAAGAUCUCCAGCGUGGCAGGCAGCUCAGUGGGGGCAGUUGGAGGUGUGCUUUCCAUUGUUGGUUUGGCAUUAAUCCCUGUAACAGCAGGAUUGUCUCUAGCUCUGACGAUGACUGGGGUAGGGCUGGGAGUUACCAGCGGAGUCAACAGUCUUGUUACCACUGCCACAGAGAUUGGAGUAAACCGUACACAGCAAAAGAAAGCCAGUGAAGUCUUCAAGAGCUUCAUGGAGGAUGUGCAGAUUCUCCAGGAUUGUCUGGAGGAGGUGACCAAAAGGGAAACAAACCCGAUAGAUGUGGCUGUGGGAGUUGGCAAGGUGCUUUGUAAAGCUGGUGUUGUUGGAAAAGGCAUUGAUUCACUUGUUGAUUUGGGCUCUGCUGUUAAGAUGUUGAAAAGUGAGGAGCUGCUUACAAGUGCUGGCAAGGUGGUGGUCCAGGAAGGUAAAGCAUUACGUAACGUUCCGAGGGUGGCCUCAGACAUCCCAGAUAUCGGUCAGGCAGCACUCAAAGGGCCUCUUGCCCUCUCCAAGUCAGCCAGGGUAGGCCUCAUCGCAGCCAAUGCUCUUUUCCUUGGGAUGGAUAUCUUCUUCAUCUGUAAGGACAGCAUCAGUCUGUCCAAAGGCAGUGAGACUGAAUUCUCACAGUUCAUCAGAGCCAGAGCUGCACUCUGGAGCUCAGAGAUAGACUCAUGGCAGAAGAUUCAUGACUCCCUGAGCGAAGGUCUGGUGAGAUCAGGGAAAAACCAAAUCAUCAUGGAGACGCCAUUUUAUCCGGAGAUGGAGACAAAGAAGAACCAGAGAACCAAACCAAACCAAAGAGAACCAGAAAUGGAAAUUCCAUCUGAUGAAGUGGAUGAGGACGAAAAACUGAAACUGAAAGAAAAGUAUUGUGUAAUACAGUAGUACUCUGUGAGGAGAGAUUACUGUGUGCCUUUUUGCCAACUUUAACACUAUGAUCAGAUAUGAGAUAAUUUGAUAUGAUUGAACCAUGUGUGAAAAUGCAACUCUGCUUAUAGCUCACUGUUGAGCAUCAAACAUGUAACAAUGUAUCUUUGAGGGUUUCUUAAUGAUCUGUGAUUUAUAUGACAUAUAUUGAUUGACCUGAUAUAUGGACUGUGUGUUUCUAUCUUGACUGUAUUCAAGAACCCUUUGCCCGUUGCAGAACAUAAUGUAUAUAGGUAUCAUUUAGUAAUCCCUGCUUUACCUGACCUGGGUAAGGUGACCAACUUUACCGUCUCUGCUGACAUCAGAGAAAAAAAACGAGCUGUCCUGUAGAUGCAUUUUUUUUCCAGAGAGGGAGAUGAAGGAACACAGAGACUAAAUUAGAUUUCUAUCUGAGGAAUAUCAGAUAGUGGUCACUAUAUCUGUGGCAACUCAACUUUUUUGUAACUGUAAUUAAUGUAAAUAAACCAGGUAUGAACAUUUAGUCUUGCCAAUAGCAGUAAAGCACUGAUCAGCAUCAAACAUAAGUCUAUCUUUGAUUAAUAUUAGCUCUAUUUGUUAUGACACAGACGAUUUAUUGAGUCCACAUUUGAGCUGAAUCACAUGGGCUGUAUGUUUUUGUUUGAUUGAAUUUAUAUUCCGUUUGUGAAAAACUACUUUACCUUGGAACUGCAGUGGGUUGCAUUUUAAAAUGAUUCAAUAAAUGUUUUCCCAUAUACAAACAUUUGUUGUCUUAGAACACAGAGAUGCCAAAUGUUUUUGUUUCAGAAACUGGAGCCAGUUUUCUAUAGCUGUGGUGUCAGUGGGGGUACCUGCUUUACCUGUCCUUGCAAAGUGUUAUAUUUGUAAUGUUUUAAUUUUACAAUCAAACCUAUCUCUUUUUUUUUACUAAUUUCACUUUAAGCACUUUUUUUCUUGAAUUAUAUUCAAUAAAUGUAUCUAAAUGUAA
Dicentrarchus labrax (European seabass) is the source of this 3065-nucleotide RNA transcript. RefSeq lists it as uncharacterized. The record is from RefSeq and is a predicted model, not a curated record. Lineage: Eukaryota; Metazoa; Chordata; Actinopteri; Moronidae. The transcript is spliced from 5 exons.